CCCCUAGAUGUUCUGGGCCGCACGCGCGCUACACUGAACAGUUCAACAAGUCUUAACCUUGGCCGAUAGGUCUGGGUAAUCUUUGAACGCUGUUCGUGAUUGGGAUAGACCUUUGCAAUUAUGGGUCUUCAACGAGGAAUUCCUAGUAAACGCAAGUCAUCAGCUUGCAUUGAUUACGUCCCUGCCCUUUGUACACACCGCCCGUCGCACCUACCGAUUGAAUGGUCCGGUGAAAUCUCGGGACGGCGGCUUGGUCGCUUGCGUCCGACUGCUGAAACUUGAUUAAACCAUAUCAUUUAGAGGAAGUUGAANUCGUANCA
This 320-nucleotide ribosomal RNA is filed under the name uncultured eukaryote. Its description in RNAcentral is "partial 18S ribosomal RNA". It matches the Rfam family "Eukaryotic small subunit ribosomal RNA", at positions 1470 to 1796 of the family's 1831-position model. The record is from RNAcentral.